GGGUUGUGAGGUUAAGCGACUAAGCGUACACGGUGGAUGCCCUGGCAGUCAGAGGCGAUGAAGGNNUCGUCACACUAUCAUUAACUGAAUCCAUAGGUUAAUGAGGCGAACCGGGGGAACUGAAACAUCUAAGUACCCCGAGGAAAAGAAAUCAACCGAGAUUCCCCCAGUAGCGGCGAGCGAACGGGGAGGAGCCCAGAGCCUGAAUCAGCAUGUGUGUUAGUGGAAGCGUCUGGAAAGGCGCGCGAUACAGGGUGACAGCCCCGUACACAAAAGCGCAUGUGCUGUGAGCUCGAUGAGUAGGGCGGGACACGUGGUAUCCUGUCUGAAUAUGGGGGGACCAUCCUCCAAGGCUAAAUACUCCUGACUGACCGAUAGUGAACCAGUACCGUGAGGGAAAGGCGAAAAGAACCCCGGCGAGGGGAGUGAAAAAGAACCUGAAACCGUGUACGUACAAGCAGUGGGAGCNNGUGACUGCGUACCUUUUGUAUAAUGGGUCAGCGACUUAUAUUCUGUAGCAAGGUUAACCGAAUAGGGGAGCCGGAGGGAAACCGAGUCUUAAUUGGGCGUUAAGUUGCAGGGUAUAGACCCGAAACCCGGUGAUCUAGCCAUGGGCAGGUUGAAGGUUGGGUAACACUAACUGGAGGACCGAACCGACUAAUGUUGAAAAAUUAGCGGAUGACCUGUGGCUGGGGGUGAAAGGCCAAUCAAACCGGGAGAUAGCUGGUUCUCCCCGAAAGCUAUUUAGGUAGCGCCUCGUGAAUUCAUCUCCGGGGGUAGAGCACUGUUUCGGCUAGGGGGCCAUCCCGGCUUACCAACCCGAUGCAAACUGCGAAUACCGGAGAAUGUUAUCACGGGAGACACACGGCGGGUGCUAACGUCCGUCGUGAAGAGGGAAACAACCCAGACCGCCAGCUAAGGUCCCAAAGUCAUGGUUAAGUGGGAAACGAUGUGGGAAGGCCCAGACAGCCAGGAUGUUGGCUUAGAAGCAGCCAUCAUUUAAAGAAAGCGUAAUAGCUCACUGGUCGAGUCGGCCUGCGCGGAAGAUGUAACGGGGCUAAACCAUGCACCGAAGCUGCGGCAGCGANNGUUGGGUAGGGGAGCGUUCUGUAAGCCUGCGAAGGUGGCCUGUGAGGGUUGCUGGAGGUAUCAGAAGUGCGAAUGCUGACAUAAGUAACGAUAAAGCGGGUGAAAAGCCCGCUCGCCGGAAGACCAAGGGUUCCUGUCCAACGUUAAUCGGGGCAGGGUGAGUCGACCCCUAAGGCGAGGCCGAAAGGCGUAGUCGAUGGGAAACGGGUUAAUAUUCCCGUACUUGGUGUUACUGCGAAGGGGGGACGGAGAAGGCUAUGUUGGCCGGGCGACGGUUGUCCCGGUUUAAGCGUGUAGGUGUGUGUUCCAGGUAAAUCCGGUUCACUUUAACACUGAGGCGUGAUGACGAGGCACUACGGUGCUGAAGCAACAAAUGCCCUGCUUCCAGGAAAAGCCUCUAAGCAUCAGGUAACAUCAAAUCGUACCCCAAACCGACACAGGUGGUCAGGUAGAGAAUACCAAGGCGCUUGAGAGAACUCGGGUGAAGGAACUAGGCAAAAUGGUGCCGUAACUUCGGGAGAAGGCACGCUGACACGUAGGUGAAGUGAUUUACUCAUGGAGCUGAAGUCAGUCGAAGAUACCAGCUGGCUGCAACUGUUUAUUAAAAACACAGCACUGUGCAAACACGAAAGUGGACGUAUACGGUGUGACGCCUGCCCGGUGCCGGAAGGUUAAUUGAUGGGGUCAGCGCAAGCGAAGCUCCUGAUCGAAGCCCCGGUAAACGGCGGCCGUAACUAUAACGGUCCUAAGGUAGCGAAAUUCCUUGUCGGGUAAGUUCCGACCUGCACGAAUGGCGUAAUGAUGGCCAGGCUGUCUCCACCCGAGACUCAGUGAAAUUGAACUCGCUGUGAAGAUGCAGUGUACCCGCGGCAAGACGGAAAGACCCCGUGAACCUUUACUAUAGCUUGACACUGAACAUUGAGCCUUGAUGUGUAGGAUAGGUGGGAGGCUUUGAAGCGUGGACGCCAGUCUGCGUGGAGCCGACCUUGAAAUACCACCCUUUAAUGUUUGAUGUUCUAACGUGGACCCGUAAUCCGGGUUGCGGACAGUGUCUGGUGGGUAGUUUGACUGGGGCGGUCUCCUCCUAAAGAGUAACGGAGGAGCACGAAGGUUGGCUAAUCCUGGUCGGACAUCAGGAGGUUAGUGCAAUGGCAUAAGCCAGCUUGACUGCGAGCGUGACGGCGCGAGCAGGUGCGAAAGCAGGUCAUAGUGAUCCGGUGGUUCUGAAUGGAAGGGCCAUCGCUCAACGGAUAAAAGGUACUCCGGGGAUAACAGGCUGAUACCGCCCAAGAGUUCAUAUCGACGGCGGUGUUUGGCACCUCGAUGUCGGCUCAUCACAUCCUGGGGCUGAAGUAGGUCCCAAGGGUAUGGCUGUUCGCCAUUUAAAGUGGUACGCGAGCUGGGUUUAGAACGUCGUGAGACAGUUCGGUCCCUAUCUGCCGUGGGCGCUGGAGAACUGAGGGGGGCUGCUCCUAGUACGAGAGGACCGGAGUGGACGCAUCACUGGUGUUCGGGUUGUCAUGCCAAUGGCACUGCCCGGUAGCUAAAUGCGGAAGAGAUAAGUGCUGAAAGCAUCUAAGCACGAAACUUGCCCCGAGAUGAGUUCUCCCUGAGACUU
Molecule: ribosomal RNA, 2707 nt
Filed under: Salmonella enterica subsp. enterica serovar Infantis str. CVM N26093
Lineage: Bacteria; Pseudomonadati; Pseudomonadota; Gammaproteobacteria; Enterobacterales; Enterobacteriaceae
Description: bacterial LSU rRNA
Rfam family: Bacterial large subunit ribosomal RNA
Source: RNAcentral